Molecule: ribosomal RNA, 186 nt
Filed under: uncultured eukaryote
Lineage: Eukaryota
Description: partial 18S ribosomal RNA
Rfam family: Eukaryotic small subunit ribosomal RNA
Source: RNAcentral
UGGUGGAGUGAUUUGUCUGGUUAAUUCCGAUAACGAACGAGACUCUGUCCUGCUAACUAGGUUGUGUUUUCUCGGGUUGGUGUUUCUGGUGUUCCUUCUCGGGGCGCCGGCCCAAUCCACUUGUGAACACAACACUCUUCUUAGAGGGACUGGCGGCUGUUAGCCGCGCGAGAUAGAGCAAUAACA